UACGUAGGGUGCGAGCGUUAAUCGGAAUUACUGGGCGUAAAGCGUGCGCAGGCGGCGCGUUAAGACAGGUGUGAAAGCCCCGAGCUUAACUUGGGAAUUGCGCUUGUGACUGGCGUGCUGGAGUGUGGCAGAGGGAGGUGGAAUUCCACGUGUAGCAGUGAAAUGCGUAGAGAUGCGGAGGAACACCGAUGGCGAAGGCAGCCCCCUGGGCUGACACUGACGCUGAGGUGCGAAAGCGUGGGGAGCAAACAGG
RNAcentral lists this ribosomal RNA (253 nucleotides) under uncultured bacterium. Its description in RNAcentral is "partial 16S ribosomal RNA". It matches the Rfam family "Bacterial small subunit ribosomal RNA", at positions 524 to 776 of the family's 1533-position model. The record is from RNAcentral.